RNAcentral lists this transfer RNA (39 nucleotides) under Barbarea vulgaris subsp. arcuata. RNAcentral describes it as "partial tRNA-His". The record is from RNAcentral. Lineage: Eukaryota; Viridiplantae; Streptophyta; Magnoliopsida; Brassicales; Brassicaceae.
GUAGGGGCGGAUGUAGCCAAGUGGAUUAAGGCAGUGGAU